This 492-nucleotide ribosomal RNA is filed under the name uncultured bacterium. Its description in RNAcentral is "partial 16S ribosomal RNA". It matches the Rfam family "Bacterial small subunit ribosomal RNA", at positions 29 to 507 of the family's 1533-position model. The record is from RNAcentral.
AGUGAACGCUGGCGGUAGGCCUAACACAUGCAAGUCGAACGGCAGCACAGUAAGAGCUUGCUCUUACGGGUGGCGAGUGGCGGACGGGUGAGGAAUACAUCGGAUUCUACUUUUUCGUGGGGGACAACGUAGGGAAACUUACGCUAAUACCGCAUACGACCUACGGGUGAAAGCAGGGGAUCUUCGGACCUUUCGCGAUUGAAUGAGCCGAUGUCGGAUUAGCUAGUUGGCUGGGUAAAGGCCCACCAAGGCGACGAUCCGUAGCUGGUCUGAGAGGAUGAUCGGCCACACUGGAACUGAGACACGGUCCAGACUCCUACGGGAGGCAGCAGUGGGGAAUAUUGGGCAAUGGGCGCAAGCCUGAUCCAGCCAUACCGCGUGAGUGAAGAAGGUCUUCGGGUUGUAAAGCCCUUUUGUUGGGAAAGAAAAGCAGCGGAUUAAUACCCCGCUGUUCUGACGGUACCCAAAGAAUAAGCAACGGCUAACUUCGUG